GAAACGCAGGCUAAUACCGAAUACGUUCUACGGAAUAAAGGUGGCCUCUACUUGUAAGCUAGCGCUAAUAGAUUGGCCCGCGUUGGAUUAGCUAGUUGGUGGGGUAAAGGCCUACCAAGGCGACGAUCCAUAGCUGGUUUGAGAGGAUGAUCAGCCACACUGGGACUGAGACACGGCCCAGACUCCUACGGGAGGCUGCAGUGGGGAAUAUUGGACAAUGGGCGCAAGCCUGAUCCAGCAAUGCCGCGUGUGUGAAGAAGGCCUGAGGGUUGUAAAGCACUUUCAAUCGUGAAGAAGGGCAGUAAUUUAAUAAAUUACUGCAUUGACGUUAACGAUAGAAGGAGCACCGGCUAACUCUGUGCCAGCAGCCGCGGUAAUACAGAGGGUGCAAGCGUUAAUCGGAAUUACUGGGGCGUAAAGCGCGCGUAAGGUGGUUUGAUAAGUUGGAUGUGAAAUCCCCGGGCUUAACCUGGGUCGGUCAUCC
RNAcentral lists this ribosomal RNA (484 nucleotides) under uncultured bacterium. RNAcentral's name for it is "bacterial SSU rRNA". It matches the Rfam family "Bacterial small subunit ribosomal RNA", at positions 153 to 628 of the family's 1533-position model. The record is from RNAcentral.